Molecule: ribosomal RNA, 484 nt
Filed under: uncultured bacterium
Lineage: Bacteria
Description: partial 16S ribosomal RNA
Rfam family: Bacterial small subunit ribosomal RNA
Source: RNAcentral
AUUGAACGCUGGCGGCAGGCCUAACACAUGCAAGUCGAGCGGAUGAAGGGAGCUUGCUCCUGGAUUCAGCGGCGGACGGGUGAGUAGUGCCUAGGAAUCUGCCUGGUAGUGGGGGAUAACGUCCGGAAACGGGCGCUAGUACCGCAUACGUCCUGAGGGAGAAAGUGGGGGAUCUUCGGACCUCACGCUAUCAGAUGAGCCUAGGUCGGAUUAGCUAGUUGGUGGGGUAAAGGCCUACCAAGGCGACGAUCCGUAACUGGUCUGAGAGGAUGAUCAGUCACACUGGAACUGAGACACGGUCCAGACUCCUACGGGAGGCAGCAGUGGGGAAUAUUGGACAAUGGGGGAAAGGCUGAUCCAGGCAUGCCGCGUGGGUGAAGAAGGUCUUCGGAUUGUAAAGCACUUUAAGUUGGGAGGAAGGGCAGUAAGUUAAUACCUUGCUGUUUUGACGUUACCAACAGAAUAAGCACCGGCUAACUUCGUG